AGCGUGAGUGAUGAAAACUCGACCUUAGGUAGGUCUUUUUUUUUGGACUGUUUUGGUUCAAAUGCUUGGGACUUGCCAAUGUUAGGACUUGUCAUAGUUACUCUGACACGCU
Small nucleolar RNA from Labrus bergylta (ballan wrasse), 112 nucleotides. Ensembl annotates it as small nucleolar RNA SNORD46. NCBI's taxonomy places the organism in Eukaryota, Metazoa, Chordata, Actinopteri, Labriformes, Labridae. The record is from Ensembl.